GGGCUCCAUAAAUACCUGCCGAGUAAAUGAAUGAAUAGUAGGUGCUCAGUAUGGUUUUCCAAAAUCAGUGAUUGAGCAGACACUGUAUGUUAGGCAGUUGCACAUGUUACUGCAUUUAAUUCUCAUGCUCAGCUUUGAAGGGAAGAACUAUCUGUCUUUUACAGAUCGGAUGAGAGAAGAGAAGUGACUUCCCCAUGGUCACAUGUCUAGUUGGCAAUGGAAGUGGGAUUCAAGUCCAGUUCCACCUGACUUCAAAGCUUAUUCCUGUUUGACUUCACCCUGCUGCCUCUAAGAUAAAGGGGAGAUCAGGAGAGCAGAAUGGUUGCUUCCCCAGAGGAACAUGUGGUCUCAUUUUCUGCUUAGGGAUAGCUCACAGGAUUCAUGAAGUGGUCACCAGAGGAUAAGGACCAACCAGGUUAACGUGAAGAAAACACCCAGCUGCAGCUGUUUAAUGAGCAACUCGAAGCUGUGGAUAAGAGCAAUCACUGCACCCAGCCACCUCUAUAUACAUGUACACAAAGCCACACAGUUUACACAGUCACAGGUAUUUAAGUACACACUAUUCACACACAAAUACAUAUAUAGACACACAUGUACAGUCCGUCCAAAAUAUAUGUACAUAAAAGCACACUAUUACACCUUCAUAUGUGCACACACACACACACCCAGACUCACUUCAUACACACAUAGAUACAACAGCCACAGCUCCCCAUCACCUACACACACACACACACACCUGGACACCCAGCUCUAAUAUAAUCAGAUAGAGAUAUGCAUGCAGACAAAUUUGCCUGUAUAGUCAAACACAUAGGCAAAUAGAGAACGAGACACCACAUGAACAAAGGCAAACCUACACACAAAGACACAGAGCACACUUACGCAUAUAUCUAUAGACCCACCAUGGCACAUAUGGGUAAGUGCACACAGGCAAACUCACACACACGAGCAUGCACAGGCAGAGAACACAAAUGUACACUCCCAGGUGUCAUAAAGAACAGCCCAGCUUCGGCUUGGGAACGUCACAUCAGACAAUAGGAACGGCUGCACCGCGCGUUUCCUCGGCUGCCAGCUUCCCAGCCACAGAGGAUGCCUCACCUGCUAUGUCAGCUCCCCUCUGCCCCACCUCACAAGAAGCUCAGAAGCUGAGGAGUCACAGAGAGACCUCCCUACUGUGUCAGAGCAUUUUAGGACCCAAAGGGACCUAAGAGAGUGCUCAGACAGCUGGCUGCGUUAGGAGCUACCUGUGGCUGCUGAAGAAGAGUUUGCGUCAAUUUAAAGAAAGAGCCAUUCAAGGAAUGAGGACCAUGACCUUGGCUGCACUGACCAGCUGGGCUCUGGAGACUCAGUGAGGCUGCCCAGCCACCAACAGGCCCUGCACAAUAGAUCCACGGACCCAGCAGUCAGAGGUGACCCUAGGGGUCACUGGCCCGUGGCUAAGGAGGAGGAGCACAGACCUGCGACCCCCUUUUCCCAUGGACCACCCAGGGAGGCUGAGCGGGGACUCUGAGCUCAGAUGGACAACCUCAGAGCCACUGGGAAUUUGCCUGAGGCCACUGGGGCCAGGGUUAAAUCCAUAUGAAGCAGCGCGGGCUGUGCACCUGCCAUUUUCUAGGCUCUGUCACAUGCAUCUUUCUGCCAAAUCUCAUGGUGAUCCUUCAAGAAUAGUACUAUUAAUCUCCCCAUUGACAGAGGGAGAAAGGGAGGCUCAGAGACGUUAAGUGUCUCACCAAAGCUCACACAGCUUCCAAGCAAUAGAACUUUACUCAGUACUCAGUACAGGUUAACAUUUAUUCAUUCACUCGAUAACCAUUUGCAGCACAGCUACCAUAUGCCAGGCAGUGUUCUAGGCACUUAGAAUACAUAGAUGAGCAAAACAGGCAAAACCUUUCCCUCAGGGCGUUACCAUUUGAGUGCCACCAUGCCACGGCUGGUACAGUUGCUAUUGAGACAAACAAAAUAAGACCCAGUUUUUGCCUUUGGGGAGUAGGUAGUCUAGUGGAGGAGGCACAUACACAGAAAAUUCCAAAGUACUGUGGAAAUCUCAGGGUACUUUGAUAGGGAUUACCAGAGGAGCUGUGAGAAUAAAGGCUGGAUAUCAGGGAAGGCUUCCUGGAAGAGGUGUUGCCUGAAAUGAGCCUGGAAGGAUCACUUAGGGACAGAAAAGUCAUUCCGUGUAGAAUUCAUGGUGAGUGACAGAGCCUAAACCCAGUCUCUUUUGCAUGCUGAGCACUGAGACCCAGACGCUGGUGCUCAGACCUGAUGACUUAUUUUCCCAGGUACAGCUUGAGCAAAGACACAGAAGCAGAAGGCAGGUUUUUGGUUCCAUGAACUCUACAUCUGGCUACAUACAAAUGGUGAAGAGGAACAGGGAGAAACAUGGUUGAAAAGAACAGGCUUGGACUUCAGGAAGCAGUAAAAUGAGCGAAUGCCAUUUAUGGUUACAAAGAUAACUCAGCUGGGGGCCAAACAGAGACUGAAAUGGAGUGGGUGAGGAUGGAGGCCGGGAGGAGAUGGCUGCAGAGGUCCCAGCAAUGACAGUGGUUGUGGGAAGGGGCAACCCCAAGUCUUGUGCUCCCAACUGCAAAUCCAGUGCUUUUUCUAAAAAAAUAUUUAAAUAAUUUAUUUAUUUUUGAGAUGGAGUCUCGCUCUGUCACCCAGGCUGGA
Molecule: long non-coding RNA, 2664 nt
Filed under: Homo sapiens (human)
Lineage: Eukaryota; Metazoa; Chordata; Mammalia; Primates; Hominidae
Description: HSALNT0331101
Source: RNAcentral